AGAUUAGAGUACCAGUUACACUUUGGUUUCGGCCCAAAUAUUUUGAUUAUUUUAUCACUAAUCUU
This 65-nucleotide transfer RNA is filed under the name Levensteiniella iris. RNAcentral describes it as "tRNA-Arg". The record is from RNAcentral. Lineage: Eukaryota; Metazoa; Annelida; Polychaeta; Phyllodocida; Polynoidae.